RNAcentral lists this small nuclear RNA (106 nucleotides) under Neotoma lepida (desert woodrat). The record is from RNAcentral. Lineage: Eukaryota; Metazoa; Chordata; Mammalia; Rodentia; Cricetidae.
GUGCUCGCCUUGGCANCACAAAUACUAAAUUGGAAUGAUCUAGAGAUGAUUAGUCUGGCCCCUGUGCAAAGAUAACGUACAAAUUUCUGAAGUGUUCCAUGUUUUU